This 257-nucleotide ribosomal RNA is filed under the name uncultured bacterium. RNAcentral's name for it is "partial 16S ribosomal RNA". It matches the Rfam family "Bacterial small subunit ribosomal RNA", at positions 524 to 776 of the family's 1533-position model. The record is from RNAcentral.
UACGUAGGGUGCAAGCGUUUAAUCGGAAUUACUGGGCGUAAAGCGUGCGCAGGCGGUUUUGUAAGUCAGAUGUGAAAUCCCCGGGCUUAACCUGGGAACUGCGUUUGAAACUACAAGGCUAGAGUGUGACAGAGGGGGGUGGAAUUCCACGUGUAGCAGUGAAAUGCGUAGAGAUGUGGAGGAACACCGAUGGCGAAGGCAGCCCCCUGGGUUAACACUGACGCGCUCGAGGCACGAAAGCGUGGGGAGCAAACAGG